UUGGCUGUCGUCAGCUCGUGUCGUGAGAUGUUGGGUUAAGUCCCGCAACGAGCGCAACCCUCAUCCUUAGUUGCCAGCGGUUUUAGCCGGGCACUCUAAGGAAACUGCCUGUGAUAAGCAGGAGGAAGGCGGGGAUGACGUCAAGUCCUCAUGGCCCUUACGGGCUGGGCUACACACGUGCUACAAUGGCGGUGACAGUGGGAAGCGAAAGGGCAACCUGGAGCCAAUCCCCAAAAGCCGUCUCAGUUCGGAUUGUACUCUGCAACUCGAGUGCAUGAAGGUGGAAUCGCUAGUAAUCGUGGAUCAGCAUGCCACGGUGAAUACGUUCCCGGGCCUUGUACACACCGCCCGUCACACCAUGGGAGUUGGCUUUACCCGAAGGCGAUGCGCCGACCCGCAAGGGAGGCAGUCGACCACGGUAAGGUCAGCGACUGGGGUGAAGUCGUAACAAGGUAGCCGUAGGGGAACCUGCGGCUGGAUCACCUCCUUUCUAAGGACAUGUCGUGAGUCGAUACUUGCGCCGUCUACGCAUCCCUUCCGAGUUCGAAAUAACAUUAGGACCAUCGUUGUAUCAGCGGUAGUAAGUCUGUUGCUCCGGUGUGCGCUUACCUUAUGGGGGCGUAGCUCAGUUGGGAGAGCGACGGCUUUGCAAGCCGUAGGUCGUCGGUUCGAACCCGUCCGCCUCCACCAAAUCCAUUUGGGUCUUGGUGACUAUCAGGUUUGGGCUAGUAGCUCAGUUGGUUAGAGCGCGCGCUUGAUAAGCGUGAGGUCGGAAGUUCAAGUCUUCCCUGGCCCACCAAUUUUACGACCUAGGAAAGUGAAAUGCUUCUUCCUAAGGUCGUGUUGGUACUAAUGUUAACGCAAAAUUACGGAUUAGAAAUAAUUUUGUAUUGUUGUUUAAUCGAGCUUGGAAGUAAGAAUUUUUGCUGGUGCAAGUUGCGUCAGUGGGAUGUGUUUUUUGACAUGGUGAAGAGGUGAUGACUAAGAAUACCUAGUCUAGUUUAUGAUAAUUGACAUAAUCUAGCUAAUAUUUUUGGGAACAAAUUAAAGCAUCUUUAACAUGGAUGAUGUUGGUUUUUGACCGAUAUUUAUCCGUGUGUGAGUUGAUCAAGCGUCAUAAGGGCAUUUGGUGGAUGCCUUGGUUCCAAGAGGCGAUGAAGGACGUGACACGCUGCGAAAAGCUGUGGGGAGCUGCGAGUAAGCUUUGAUCCGCGGAUAUCCGAAUGGGGAAACCCGG
RNAcentral lists this small RNA (1237 nucleotides) under uncultured bacterium. RNAcentral's name for it is "bacterial SSU rRNA". The stretch from base 1 to 490 matches the Rfam family "Bacterial small subunit ribosomal RNA", at positions 1045 to 1533 of the family's 1533-position model. The record is from RNAcentral.